This is a long non-coding RNA of Capsicum annuum, 1694 nucleotides long. RefSeq lists it as uncharacterized. The transcript is spliced from 6 exons. The record is from RefSeq and is a predicted model, not a curated record. Lineage: Eukaryota; Viridiplantae; Streptophyta; Magnoliopsida; Solanales; Solanaceae.
CCCUAAAAAAAAUAUUUUCCCUCUUUUUUUUUUUCAAUUGGCCAAACAUUUUCCUUUUUUUUUUUAAUUGGGCAAAACAUUUCCCAAAUUGACAGCUCUCACUUUCCCUUUCCCAAAGACAACUCUCAUUUCCCCCAAAUUAGUGUAGAGAAGAGUAUUUGUCGUGGAGACCAAGAAGUCCCCAAAUUUAUUCAUUUCCACCAACUUAGUGUAGAGAAUUUUGGAUCUAUAGCAUUGUUGAUAGCAAAGAAAUUUUCGUUUUCAAUUUGAUGCUAGUUAGUGAGCUUGCUGGUGGUGUUUUCCCCAAAAAAAGAAAGGCAAGGCUUGCUGACUAAUUAAGAAAAGGGGUCAGUUGAUAAUCCACACAGUGGCGUAGCUACAUAGAUUGAAGGGUGCUUGAUGAUAUAUCUUGGGAUGAGGUCUGCCCUAAUGAUGAUCAUAUAGUGCCACAUCCAAGUAGUCGACUCACCAAUGAACCACUCUCCCAGAAUGAUAGCCGUAAGAAACCUCGCCAUGAAUUAAUUGGUUUAACAGGUAAUGGAGGUGAUCAAUCUACUGGUAAAUAUGCUAAUCUGCAAAAGGAUCAAGUAUUGAGUAAUAAAAGCCCCCAAAUGCUGGAAAAAGAUUCAUGGGCUGAUGCACCUGAUGCUGCAUUCUCUUCUCCACGCUGAGAAUACCAGGACAUCCAAUUUUUCCAUCAAAAGUAAUAAUCUAGAAUCCAUUGAGAGCGAGUCCUGUCUUAAUGGUCGCACUUUAGAUGACAAGAAUGCUGCUGUGGGGGAAAACUCUUAUAACUAUCCACUUUGUCUCAUUUCUCAGGCUGAUCUAGGUUGAAGACAAUUGAUCUAUGUUGAUGAGUUUGAUGUUUUUCUCCUUGAAUAGAUACCGCAAUAACUAUCACAGGGACAGCGAAUACAAGAGAAGUAACAGUAGAAGCAUUGAUCGCUAUGAGCGUGAUAGGUAUAGGCAGAGGGAGCGGGACUAUCGCUAUCAGAGUAGGAGCGGCAUCUUAAGUCCAAACUAUGAUCGAGAUUACGGUAGGGGACGUGACAGAAAACACCGUAGAUGGAGCCCAUCUUUUGAUAGUGCCUCCCUAGCUCGGUGCAGCCCAAGUUCUCUUAGGAAAGAGUCUACUCGUAGAAUCUUAUCACCCAAAAAGAGAAGUCCUGAGAGGCGCAUUCAGUGAAUGCUCUCCAACUCCGCAUAGCCGUUCUCCUCCAGGUCGGGCAAUGGAUUCCCGAAGUCCUUUUCCUCGUGCUGAUGAGUUAUGAUCGAGAGACGGUUGAUGAGGUUGAUGUCAGAUGAUGAUGAUGAUGUGACUGUCAACCCGUAUAGUAGCUUAUAGUUAGUUCGUGAAAUUUGACGAGGCUGAUUGGUAGAUUAUGUGUUGAUUAUUGCUGAUGGUUAGCUGUUGAUAUGCAGCUUUCGAUGCUAUUUGUAGUUAAUGUAUUUGCAAUGCAUAAUAGCAGAUACUGGCUGGAGGUUUUCUAUGUGCACCUGUAUAUAAUAUAUUAGCCAAGUGAUGCGGCUAGUGGACCCAUUUCACCCAUGGAUACAAGGAGAUCACGUGAUGAUAAUGAUACUAAUGACAUUCUUUGAUUUCGUUGCAUUUGUCUUGGAUAUUCAAUUAUGAUGAUGUAAUUGUGUCGUUGUAGUGAAUCUUAGAAUAUUGAAAGUUUUGUGUUUAAAUUUGA